This 301-nucleotide ribosomal RNA is filed under the name uncultured bacterium. RNAcentral's name for it is "partial 16S ribosomal RNA". It matches the Rfam family "Bacterial small subunit ribosomal RNA", at positions 509 to 807 of the family's 1533-position model. The record is from RNAcentral.
CAGCAGCCACGGUAAUACGUAGGGUGCGAGCGUUAAUCGGAACUACUGGGCGUAAAGCGUGCGCAGGCGGUUCGUUAAGACAGAUGUGAAAUCCCCGGGCUUAACCUGGGAACUGCAUUUGUGACUGGCGAGCUAGAGUAUGGCAGAGGGGGGUAGAAUUCCACGUGUAGCAGUGAAAUGCGUAGAGAUGUGGAGGAAUACCGAUGGCGAAGGCAGCCCCCUGGGCCAAUACUGACGCUCAUGCACGAAAGCGUGGGGAGCAAACAGGAUUAGAUACCCCCGUAGUCCCUGUCUCUUAUAC